UCCGAGUUAUCCCCGGCAGUCUCCUAUGAGUCCCCGGCCGAACCGCUGGCAACAUAGGACAAGGGUUGCGCUUGUUGCGGGACUUAACCCAACAUCUCACGACACGAGCUGACGACAGCCAUGCACCACCUGUCACGGGCCCUUACGGACACUGUAUUUCUACAGCUUUUCCCGUGAUGUCAAACCCAGGUAAGGUUCUUCGGGUUGCAUCGAAUUAAGCCGCAUGCUCCGCCGCUUGUGCGGGGACCCGUCAAUUCCUUUGAGUUUUAGCCUUGCGGCCGUGCUCCCCAGGCGGGAUACUUAAUGCGUUAGCUUCGGCACGGCAGUCGUUGGUAAGACCGCCACACCAUAUAGGCAUAACAGCGAGUGAUCAUCGUUU
RNAcentral lists this unclassified non-coding RNA (379 nucleotides) under uncultured Acidimicrobiia bacterium. Its description in RNAcentral is "contains 16S-23S intergenic spacer region". The record is from RNAcentral. Lineage: Bacteria; Bacillati; Actinomycetota; Acidimicrobiia.